GAUUUCACCCGAAAUUGGGAAGCUAACCUUUGGGGGGCUACCACUUACGGUGGAAUUAGCGACUGGGGUGAAGUCGUAACAAGGUAACCGUAGGUGAACCUGCAGAAGGAUCA
This 113-nucleotide ribosomal RNA is filed under the name uncultured eukaryote. RNAcentral describes it as "partial small subunit ribosomal RNA". It matches the Rfam family "Bacterial small subunit ribosomal RNA", at positions 1413 to 1525 of the family's 1533-position model. The record is from RNAcentral.